This is a non-coding RNA of Cricetulus griseus (Chinese hamster), 4430 nucleotides long. NCBI's taxonomy places the organism in Eukaryota, Metazoa, Chordata, Mammalia, Rodentia, Cricetidae. The record is from RefSeq and is a predicted model, not a curated record.
AUAAGUCUUAUAAAAUAUAUAGAUUUAUGAUAAUUAAGACUGAGCUAACAGAUGAGAAGUCCUAGUCAUUGGCCAAGCAGCAUUUGUACCUAAUAUAAGUCUCCACUAUACUUAGGGGCCCUAACUUGGCGGGCAGAUCUCCGGUGGCUGGCGGGAAGCGCCCACGUGGCUCAGGUGGCUUUUGGCGGAAAGAUUUAUAGUAACAGUAGGUCUCUGUGGCUUAAAAGCUUGUGUCUUUCAUAAGCCUGUAGUUCAGAGCUUGUAAAAGGUGGCUAUGAAGGCAGUCUGAUGCAACCAGAAGUUGUGACAACCUUUACACAGGUUGUUUCUCUAGGUAUAAAGUGAAGAACCAGUCAAUAAAAUCUGCACAUUCAUUCUUCAUCACAGAGUCCUACAGGUAGCUGUAGAUAGAGCAGCAGACCCAGGGUCAGACAACUGGGGUCCUAGAGUAGAGUCCACCAUGCUAGUAUGAUGACCUUAGGCAAAUGAUGUAUCUUUUAUAGAACACAGUCACCCUAAAUUCCCUCUUCCCACUUAGAAUCCUUGGGUUCUGUAAUUCCAGCCUUAAUGAGGCUAUACUGUUACUAUCAUUGCCUGGCACACAGCAAGCACUGUAUAAACAUUAGUUGUUACUGCUUUGUAAAGGUGUACCUUCAAAUCCAAAGGUGAAUUCUUACCUAUUAUAGCAAUCAAUGAUAUAUGAACCAACUUCUGAACAAGACAUGACUUAAGGAAUGAAAACUGAAGUCUGUUGACCUAAGAACAAAUGGAUAAAAUGUUUUGUUUAUUUUAGUGGAUGUCAAUGGUAGUUCUCUGAUAUAAAAAUGCAUAGUUCACAUAGAGAACUUGUGGUUCAAUAACAGCUGUUUUGUACCAUGAUGUAGAUAUCUUUCUCUCCUGAAAAUCAUGGAGAAAAUUGGAACUCAGAAAUCAGAACUUGGAGUUCCCAAACAUCAAGACUCUUUUGAUGGAUGACUGACACUAUAGACAUCUAAAAAGAUCAUCCGCUCAAAGGAAACACAUGCUUUUGGCAGCCUAAUUUUUCAAACAGAAAAUCAAGCAUCAGUCAGUUGUACCUAAUCCUUUGGUACGGACACUGCCUCAUUAAUCAUCUGAGAGAGCCUAUAAGAGCGGUUCGGAGUGACACGGCGCCCGGUGAAAGGCUGCAGGCCAGGAGCAAGAAACGGAGCAAGAAGGUUGGGAUUAAAUCCAUCUCGCCAACGGUGUCUCCAAAGUUUCACCAAGUCCCGGGCGCGCAGGGAAAGGGCGUCUCCUGGGGGACGCGGGGACGCCAGUGGCGCUCGAGUGAGAAGGUGGGGGACCUAGGGAGCUGAACGAGGAGCCACUGGGGAGUCCGAGGAGGCAAGGCAGCGGCUGCGAGGCUGGCGUGCUGGAGUGGAGCGGGCUCGCGGCUGCAGGGCUUUUCGGGGUUGGGGAGUGGACGCUGGCGGCCGAGGGGAGGGACGCACUGGCCGCCGGAGGGAGGGCGGCUCGACCCGCCAGAGAUGGAAUUACAAUCUAGUGGAAGAGCGAGGGGCAGGGUCUGAAUCAAUUCACUCCUCGCCCACCUCCAGAGCAGACAGUCCCCAGCUCAGCCCUUCCCCGCGGGUGACCUAGAUUGGGGGCCUGGGUGGGACCGCCUUCGACACCCCGCGGGAGUUCGUAGAUUCAAGCUGCGAACUCAGGGACCUCGGCUGGGUCCUGACCCUGAACUCAGGGUGCCUCGGUUCCACUGGCUGGACUUCUCUUCACCCCCGCCCCUCUAUGUCGCUUGCACCCAGUUUAAGUCACUUUUCUUAACACCUCAAAGGUUACUCUACUCUGUCUGGCGCUCCAGAGGAAGCGCAAGGGAGGGGCUGUUAUUUGCAAGUAGGGACAAGGCGGGCAGGGCUGGCCAAGUCUGGGGUGCUAAGAAGAUAAAUGGGAUUUAAGGCGCGCAGAUGGAGAGCUGAGGCUUGGCCACUCAGAUGCAAAGGCUAAAUGGAGAUUAGGGACUGGUGACUAGGGAACAGGUACCCUCAUGGUGGCGGAUGGCAACUUUAGACCCUCCAGAAAAGGAAAUCAAACUCCCAGCUAAUCCUGGCAACUCUGUAAAGGGGGCGUUUGCCGGCCUGGCUGGGGUUGGGGAAUAGGAACAAGGAGGGGCCAGCACUUAGCUCCCCAGCUAAGGACAGACCUCCUUCUCCUCUUCCCUCCAGAAGUGCGCGGCUGGCUGGAGUUCCCAGUAUUGCCCCAACAGGGUGCCAGCUCCAGUGCAAACUGACAUUCUGACUUCCAGGCCCUCCUGGAAGCAGAUACAAUAAAUAAACUAAGAGGAAUGCACUAAAAAGGAAAACGGCCCUCGCCAAAUCCCGGGGAAAGAUCAAAGGCCCUGGAAGCGCCCCACAGAUGGAAACUGCGGUCACUGACUGUGGUCCGCGGGUGAUCGCCACACCCCACCUGGCAGAGCAGCAUCCUGCUCCUUCUUGUUAACCUUUCCUUAGGAGAGCCAGAGUGUUGACUGACGUCCCCGCCCCUGAUUUCUACUCUUGAUCCCAUCUGAACCUAAUCCUUUUAGCAAGGCCUCACCUUUGAGUCAUGUUUUACUUCUGAGGGCCUCUACAGACCCUGGGUCCUGGGCCACAGACAAAACUUUCUUCAUGGGGACUGUAACACAUGUGAGAGCUGCCAAAUUAAACAUGCAAGAAAGAGACACAAGCUGCCAUCUUCUCGACAGCACAGAGAUCUGGUGUAAGAACGGGUUGCAGAUGUUGGGGAAUGCUUCAAGGACAUCCAGCCUCCCAUAGCUGCUAGCCACAUGUGGCAUAGCAAAGCAAGGAGGCCCAAAGUUGUCACAUAAUACCCUGUCUCUUCCUAAAGUGACAAAGCUGAGUCCACCCUAGACUGAAACCCCAGAAGCACUGAGAUGACAAUCAAGACCCGAGGCCAAGUCAAAGAACCAAAUCACUCACUCCCUACAUGGACUUGGAAUAAUGAUGAAUCAAAGACUGAAUCUUAAGACAGCGAAAGACCUUCCAAAAUGGCAAUGAGAUAAUAGGUAAGGGUUCUCCCGGGUAGGAAAAGUGACUGGGCCAUUCAAAUGGGGGUGUGCACACAGAACACAGAACACACCUACAACUGGCAGGAGACACUAUCGAGUCCUGGCUGCUGCUGAGAACACUAGGCCCACUCAGAUUUUCCAACAGCUUUAGUGCCUCUUAAUUCAUCCAGUAUGUCUUAAUUUCAUGUUCUCUGCCCUUCUGUGUUGUUUGUUACUUUUUAUAGGGCCCUGGAUGAGUCACAUUGCUUCUCUGACAUAGUUUUCCUAGGCUAAACCGAUGGCACACAAUAUCUUUCCCAACUGGCACAUUCUUGUGUCCCUGUUAGGGUAAGGUUGUCUCGGGCACAUCCUCCUUGAUUUUGUCUAGACUGCAACAAUGUGUCCCAGGAGAGGCUACUAAGGCACUCUCUUGGUUCUGAGUUGCAGGAAUAGAUUAGAGUGUUUAUGAGUGCAUGAUCAUAGAUAAAUUAUCCACAAUGACAUUUAGAACAUGGAGAUGGUUCUUAUGUGUUUAUUUGGUGAAUAAGAGGAUGGUCUUAAUAAUUCUCUGUCUCUAAGCUCUUUUGUAAUGUUGAACUUAAUUAUACAUGUAUUCAUGUAUAUCAUUCAAACUAUCUUCCUUCACUGGGGUGAAAAGCAGACUGUGGCAAUAGAAAAGUUGUACUUAAUAGGGAGUAACAAAGUGUGUGCGUGUGUGUGUGUGUGUGUGUGUGUGUGUGUGUGUGUGUGUGUGUGUGUGUGUGAUAUAAAACACAAUACAUAUGUAUAUAUUGUCCCAUUAUGUGUAUAUGUAUGUAUACCUCAUGUAUUUAUAUAUAUUAUUGUUCUUUGUGGACCUAUGUGUGCAUGUAGAUGUAUUAUGCAUUCCUGGGCUUUCUCUAACCAAAGAGAACAAGAACAUAUAUGGAAGGAACUUAGGACAAAGAAAAGACAAUGAAAGCAGGAAAACAUAAUAGAACUGGAAAAGGGAACAGACGUGGAUGAUGUAGAAUAUUGUCACAUAUGUCCUGUACAGUUAUUUCACAUUUGACUGCAUGUUUUCAAAUUUGCAUGUUGCCACAUUUUCAUGACAAAAUAAGUAGAUAAAUGAAACUAACAGUACAAGCUGAUGAAUCUUCACUGGUGCACCCUUUUUUAAAAAUUCUGAAUAAUUUGUAUUUGAGUCACACAGAAGAAAAGUUAAUUUAAUUAAUUUAUAAAGAUAUCAUUUAAAAAGAACUGUGUUCAUCUGAUGUCACGUGUUCAAGGCGGGGUAUGAUUAACAAUUAUCACUGAAUUCUCUUAGGAGUGCCCAUCUUUAAGAAAUAUGAAUUGAUACAAAAGAUUAAUUUGGAAAAUGACUAGGAUUAUUUUUUUGCUUAAAAUAAAAUAAAAAACACAUUGUAAUUUC